RNAcentral lists this ribosomal RNA (404 nucleotides) under uncultured prokaryote. Its description in RNAcentral is "bacterial SSU rRNA". It matches the Rfam family "Bacterial small subunit ribosomal RNA", at positions 355 to 774 of the family's 1533-position model. The record is from RNAcentral.
UGAGGAAUCUUCCACAAUGGGCGAAAGCCUGAUGGAGCAACGCCGCGUGCAGGAUGAAGGCCUUCGGGUCGUAAACUGCUUUUAUAAGUGAAGAAUAUGACGGUAGCUUAUGAAUAAGCACCGGCUAACUACGUGCCAGCAGCCGCGGUCAUAAGUAGGGUGCAAGCAUUAUCCGGAGUGACUGGGCGUAAAGAGUUGCGUAGGUGGUUUGUUAAGUGAAUAGUGAAAUCUGGUGGCUCAACCAUUCAGACUAUUAUUCAAACUGACAAACUCGAGAGUAGUAGAGGUAACUGGAAUUUCUAGUGUAGGAGUGAAAUCCGUAGAUAUUAGAAGGAACACCAAUGGCGUAGGCAGGUUACUGGGCUAUUUCUGACACUAAAGCACGAAAGCGUGGGGAGCGAACC